ACGCUCGACACCUACGGGAGGUAGCAGUGGGGAAUAUUGGGCAAUGGGCGCAAGCCUGACCCAGCAACGCCGCGUGAAGGAAGAAGGCUUUCGGGUUGUAAACUUCUUUUGUCAGGGAACAGUAGAUGAGGGUACCUGACGAAUAAGCUCCGGCUAACUACGUGCCAGCAGCCGCGGUAAUCUGAGCGGGCUGGCAAGGC
This 200-nucleotide ribosomal RNA is filed under the name uncultured bacterium. RNAcentral's name for it is "partial 16S ribosomal RNA". It matches the Rfam family "Bacterial small subunit ribosomal RNA", at positions 328 to 539 of the family's 1533-position model. The record is from RNAcentral.